Molecule: ribosomal RNA, 254 nt
Filed under: uncultured bacterium
Lineage: Bacteria
Description: partial 16S ribosomal RNA
Rfam family: Bacterial small subunit ribosomal RNA
Source: RNAcentral
CACGUAGGGUGCGAGCGUUGUCCGGAAUUAUUGGGCGUAAAGAGCUCGUAGGCGGUGUGUCGCGUCGGCCGUGAAAACCUGUGGCUUAACUGCGGGCUUGCGGUCGAUACGGGCAUCACUGGAGUUCGGCAGGGGAGACUGGAAUUCCUGGUGUAGCGGUGAAAUGCGCAGAUAUCAGGAGGAACACCGGUGGCGAAGGCGGGUCUCUGGGCAGUAACUGACGCUGAGGAGCGAAAGCGUGGGGAGCGAACAGG